Molecule: ribosomal RNA, 468 nt
Filed under: uncultured bacterium
Lineage: Bacteria
Description: partial 16S ribosomal RNA
Rfam family: Bacterial small subunit ribosomal RNA
Source: RNAcentral
GACGAACGCUGGCGGCGUGCUUAACACAUGCAAGUCGAACGGAAAGGCCCUGCUUUUGUGGGGUGCUCGAGUGGCGAACGGGUGAGUAACACGUGAGUAACCUGCCCUUGACUUUGUGAUAACUUCAGGAAACUGGGGCUAAUACCGGAUAGGAGCUCCUGCUGCAUGGUGGGGGUUGGAAAUUUUCGGCGGUUGGGGAUGGACUCGCGGCUUAUCAGCUUGUUGGUGGGGUAGUGGCUUACCAAGGCUUUGACGGGUAGCCGGCCUGAGAGGGUGACCGGCCACAUUGGGACUGAGAUACGGCCCAGACUCCUACGGGAGGCAGCAGUGGGGAAUAUUGCACAAUGGGCGGAAGCCUGAUGCGGCAACGCCGCGUGCGGGAUGACGGCCUUCGGGUUGUGAACCGCUUUCGCCUGUGACGAAGCGUGAGUGACGGUAAUGGGUAAAGAAGCACCGGCUAACUACGUG